Molecule: ribosomal RNA, 451 nt
Filed under: uncultured bacterium
Lineage: Bacteria
Description: partial 16S ribosomal RNA
Rfam family: Bacterial small subunit ribosomal RNA
Source: RNAcentral
GUGGGGAAUAUUGGACAAUGGGGGGAACCCUGAUCCAGCCAUGCGGCGUGUGUGAAGAAGGCCUUUUGGUUGUAAAGCACUUUAAGCGAGGAGGAGGCUACCGAGAUUAAUACUCUUGGAUAGUGGACGUUACUCGCAGAAUAAGCACCGGCUAACUCUGUGCCAGCAGCCGCGGUAAUACAGAGGGUGCAAGCGUUAAUCGGAUUUACUGGGCGUAAAGCGCGCGUAGGUGGCCAAUUAAGUCAAAUGUGAAAUCCCCGAGCUUAACUUGGGAAUUGCAUUCGAUACUGGUUGGCUAGAGUAUGGGAGAGGAUGGUAGAAUUCCAGGUGUAGCGGUGAAAUGCGUAGAGAUCUGGAGGAAUACCGAUGGCGAAGGCAGCCAUCUGGCCUAAUACUGACACUGAGGUGCGAAAGCAUGGGGAGCAAACAGGAUUAGAUACCCCGGUAGUCC